This 428-nucleotide ribosomal RNA is filed under the name Bacteroidota bacterium. RNAcentral describes it as "Bacteroidetes bacterium partial 16S ribosomal RNA". It matches the Rfam family "Bacterial small subunit ribosomal RNA", at positions 355 to 776 of the family's 1533-position model. RNAcentral also lists the same sequence under 1 other name. Lineage: Bacteria; Pseudomonadati; Bacteroidota. The record is from RNAcentral.
UAGGGAAUCUUCGGCAAUGGGGGAACCCUGACCGAGCAACGCCGCGUGAGUGAAGAAGGUUUUCGGAUCGUAAAGCUCUGUUGUUAAGGAAGAACGAGUGUGAGAAUGGAAAGUUCAUGCUGUGACGGUACUUAACCAGAAAGGGACGGCUAACUACGUGCCAGCAGCCGCGGUAAUACGUAGGUCCCGAGCGUUGUCCGGAUUUAUUGGGCGUAAAGCGAGCGCAGGCGGUUAGAAAAGUCUGAAGUGAAAGGCAGUGGCUCAACCAUUGUAGGCUUUGGAAACUGUUUAACUUGAGUGCAGAAGGGGAGAGUGGAAUUCCAUGUGUAGCGGUGAAAUGCGUAGAUAUAUGGAGGAACACCGGUGGCGAAAGCGGCUCUCUGGUCUGUAACUGACGCUGAGGCUCGAAAGCGUGGGGAGCGAACAGG